RNAcentral lists this ribosomal RNA (301 nucleotides) under uncultured bacterium. Its description in RNAcentral is "partial 16S ribosomal RNA". It matches the Rfam family "Bacterial small subunit ribosomal RNA", at positions 509 to 809 of the family's 1533-position model. The record is from RNAcentral.
CAGUCGCCGCGGUAACACGUAGGGUGCGAGCGUUAAUCGGAAUUACUGGGCGUAAAGCGUGCGCAGGCGGUUGUGUAAGACAGGUGUGAAAUCCCCGGGCUUAACCUGGGAACUGCGCUUGUGACUGCACAGCUAGAGUAUGGCAGAGGGGGGUGGAAUUCCACGUGUAGCAGUGAAAUGCGUAGAGAUGUGGAGGAACACCGAUGGCGAAGGCAGCCCCCUGGGCCAAUACUGACGCUCAUGCACGAAAGCGUGGGGAGCAAACAGGAUUAGAUACCCCAGUAGUCCCUGUCUCUUAUAA